This 292-nucleotide ribosomal RNA is filed under the name uncultured bacterium. RNAcentral describes it as "partial 16S ribosomal RNA". It matches the Rfam family "Bacterial small subunit ribosomal RNA", at positions 505 to 796 of the family's 1533-position model. The record is from RNAcentral.
GUGCCAGCCGCCGCGGUAAGACAGAGGGUGCAAACGUUGUUCGGAAUUACUGGGCGUAAAGCGUGUGUAGGCGGCCACGAUAGUCGGAUGUGAAAGCCCCGGGCUCAACCCGGGAAGUGCACCCGAUACUGCGUGGCUCGAGUACCGGAGAGGUUGGUGGAAUUCUCGGUGUAGAGGUGAAAUUCGUAGAUAUCGAGAGGAACACCGGUGGCGAAGGCGGCCAACUGGACGGAUACUGACGCUGAGACACGAAAGCGUGGGGAGCAAACAGGAUUAGAUACCCCAGUAGUCC